CCUACGGGAGGCUGCAGUGGGGAAUAUCGGACAAUGGGCGAAAGCCUGAUCCAGCCAUGCCGCGUGUGUGAAGAAGGCCUUCGGGUUGUAAAGCACUUUCAGUGGGGAAGAAAGCCUUGGGGCUAAUACCCACGAGGAAGGACAUCACCCACAGAAGAAGCACCGGCUAACUCCGUGCCAGCAGCCGCGGUAAUACGGAGGGUGCGAGCGUUAAUCGGAAUUACUGGGCGUAAAGCGCGCGUAGGCGGUCUGAUAAGCCGGUUGUGAAAGCCCCGGGCUCAACCUGGGAACGGCAUCCGGAACUGUCAGGCUAGAGUGCAGGAGAGGAAGGUAGAAUUCCUGGUGUAGCGGUGAAAUGCGUAGAGAUCGGGAGGAAUACCAGUGGCGAAGGCGGCCUUCUGGACUGACACUGACGCUGAGGUGCGAAAGCGUGGGUAGCAAACAGGAUUAGAUACCCGGGUAGUC
Molecule: ribosomal RNA, 465 nt
Filed under: Vreelandella stevensii
Lineage: Bacteria; Pseudomonadati; Pseudomonadota; Gammaproteobacteria; Oceanospirillales; Halomonadaceae
Description: partial 16S ribosomal RNA
Rfam family: Bacterial small subunit ribosomal RNA
Source: RNAcentral